UCGAUGCGACCUGCCGGAUGGGUGAUGCGUGCCGCCACAUAGGCCCAGUACUCUUCAAUACAGAAGGAGCGAAACGCCUGCAGAAGGAGGGCAGGACGUGACCCAGAAGGCAGCGAGUCCAACUUAGGCUAACAGUGGUCUUUAGCGUGCGCAACAAGUCUUGAAAAAUUGUUGAUGUAACUGCGCGCGGACCCCAUCGCCUCGAGUCUCGCUCGCCACGUGCUGAGCCAACAUGACGUCCCGUCCCAUUGUCCAUAUUGAUGAGGGAGUCCUGCCAAAAACCGACCUGUGGAGAUGGAUAUCUCAGCUAAAUUGUCGCCCGGGAAGGAGCGAGGGUGAUGAUAAGCUGCACUGAGAGAGCAGGUGCUCCAGGGGUCUGCUUCAGCACUUCGGUAAGGUGCUGAUCAAGAAGGAUGGGCCCGCCACUCUGAAACUUCCAUAUGGGGAGUAUAUUAAUUGUGAGGGGCCACGUCAACCUCUGACUUCACAUCACAUCACAUCAGAUCACUGUAAUGAAGUCUGAGUCACAUGGCAAACUGUUAGACACAUGGCUCAACAGACACACAAAGUUCAGUCAGCUUUUGUUACAGCGUAGGCACACCCCCCUCACCUUGCUCUGUAGUCCAAAUAUCACUAUGAAAUGAAAGACUUUGCAUGCAAACCUAAAACAAAAAUAGAUAUAUCGUGCAUGUUACGUCUCUUAUCAAGUUUGGAUUGUUUUUGCCAGCAUUCACAUUUAUAACCAUUCAUAACCGAUUAUCAUGUGUUGUGAUGCAUUUCUGUGAACAAUGUAGAGGAUGAAGAGAGAAUUCUUCAUCAUGCAUUAUGCAAACAAAUCUGCUCAGAGGAUUUUUAAUGUUCCAAAAAUGGUGGAAACAGUAUUUGGCUUUCAUUUUCAUGUCUCACUUCAGGAUGUCUUUAUUCUCGGGAACCAACUGUAAGCCACACAUGUUUAAGAGCCUUUGCCAAUCACUGAUCAAGUGUGAUAACAUGACAAUAUCAGCCUCA
Molecule: long non-coding RNA, 1008 nt
Organism: Lampris incognitus (smalleye Pacific opah)
Lineage: Eukaryota; Metazoa; Chordata; Actinopteri; Lampriformes; Lampridae
Exons: 3
Source: RefSeq, a predicted model, not a curated record